AGAGUUUGAUCAUGGCUCAGGAUGAACGCUGGCGGCGUGCCUAACACAUGCAAGUCGAACGAGGUAUUUUGAUUGAAGUUUUCGGAUGGAUUUCAAGAUACCGAGUGGCGGACGGGUGAGUAACGCGUGGGUAACCUGCCUCAUACAGGGGGAUAACGGUUAGAAAUGACUGCUAAUACCGCAUAAGCGCACAGUACCGCAUGGUACGGUGUGAAAAACUCCGGUGGUAUGAGAUGGACCCGCGUCUGAUUAGCUAGUUGGUGAGGUAACGGCCCACCAAGGCGACGAUCAGUAGCCGACCUGAGAGGGUGACCGGCCACAUUGGGACUGAGACACGGCCCAGACUCCUACGGGAGGCAGCAGUGGGGGGUAUUGCACAAUGGAGGAAACUCUGAUGCAGCGACGCCGCGU
RNAcentral lists this ribosomal RNA (411 nucleotides) under uncultured bacterium. RNAcentral's name for it is "bacterial SSU rRNA". It matches the Rfam family "Bacterial small subunit ribosomal RNA", at positions 8 to 402 of the family's 1533-position model. The record is from RNAcentral.